CGGACGGGUGAGUAAUGUCUGGGAAACUGCCUGAUGGCGGGGGAUAACUACUGGAAACGGUAGCUAAUACCGCAUAACGUCGCAAGACCAAAGAGGGGGACCUUCGGGCCUCUUGCCAUCGGAUGUGCCCAGAUGGGAUUAGCUAGUAGGUGGGGUAACGGCUCACCUAGGCGACGAUCCCUAGCUGGUCUGAGAGGAUGACCAGCCACACUGGAACUGAGACACGGUCCAG
Molecule: ribosomal RNA, 232 nt
Filed under: uncultured bacterium
Lineage: Bacteria
Description: partial 16S ribosomal RNA
Rfam family: Bacterial small subunit ribosomal RNA
Source: RNAcentral